CGUUUUGUGGGGUUGGAAUGAAGAGCAAGUGGAUGCUGGUGAAUUGAUCAGGAGGAGCCGUGGGGAACCAGUGAUCAUGCUUGCUAUGGGGUGCAGUUUUAAGAUGCAGGAUUGUAUACCUCUUUAUGAUCUGCGCUUUCAUUUCGGUUCAGUGUUACACAAUGGUUGUGUGUUGUUUCACUUUCAUGCUUUGCUGCUGUCUUUGGUUCUAACUUUUUAAUUAAUUUGUAUUCUGGAGGUAUGGUUAUACUGACGGGGAGCUACGGGUCGAAGUUUUCAAUCAGUCUUGCUAAUCCAGGUGUAUCUGGCUUCCGUAACAAGUAAUUGUUGUUCUUAUCUGUUGAAGUGGCGUUAGUAUAAGCAGUGAUGUGUUCUUGCUGCUUGCUGACAGGGACCUGCAUUUUAGCUCCACUGGGAUGGAAGACGCCACAGUGGCUUAUUUAGCUCAUGUCAUUCCACGUGUGUUUAUGGUAUGGUAUGUGGCUCUUCUCUGGGCGUCUUUAUUAAGAGGGGGAUUGUUUAGAUUGUUGAUCAUCAUUAUCUUGUGCAGCACAAGGCCUUCAGAUGCAAGAUAACUGUGGAGGCUAUACCAUCUAACCAAAAUUAUCGUGUGACCAGUAUAGCUGGAGUUUUUUUUUUUUUUUGAGAAAUACCA
This 655-nucleotide long non-coding RNA is filed under the name Triticum aestivum (bread wheat). Its description in RNAcentral is "long non-coding RNA (TAES_LNC005809)". The record is from RNAcentral. Lineage: Eukaryota; Viridiplantae; Streptophyta; Magnoliopsida; Poales; Poaceae.